This 362-nucleotide ribosomal RNA is filed under the name Pempheris flavicycla. RNAcentral describes it as "partial 12S ribosomal RNA". It matches the Rfam family "Bacterial small subunit ribosomal RNA", at positions 1020 to 1533 of the family's 1533-position model. Lineage: Eukaryota; Metazoa; Chordata; Actinopteri; Acropomatiformes; Pempheridae. The record is from RNAcentral.
CCCCUUCUCGCCCAACAGCCUAUAUACCGCCGUCGUCAGCUUACCCUGUGAAGGUUUAGCAGUUAGCAAAAUCGGCAUAGCCCAAAACGCCAGGUCGAGGUGUAGCAUAUGGAGGGGGAAGCAAUGGGCUACAUUCUCUGCUACAGAGAAUACGGAUGAUGAACUGAAACGUUAAUCUGAAGGAGGAUUUAGCAGUAAGCAGAAAAUAGAGUGUUCUGCUGAAGUCGGCCCUGAAGCGCGCACACACCGCCCGUCACUCUCCCCGAAUGCCUAUUUCUUAUGUUAUUAAAACUAUUCUGCUACUUUAGGGGAGGCAAGUCGUAACAUGGUAAGUGUACCGGAAGGUGCACUUGGACACAUAC